AACAAUCCAUCUUGGCCAAAUUAAAGGGAAGGAAAUUGGGAAGAGAUUAGGCCAAAUAGGAAGCAAGAGGAAAAGUCAAUCCUUACCUACUGAGGAGAGGACUUGACUUCCUAUUUUGCACUAAGACUAUAAAUACCCUCCUUAACUCCUAUUAGAGCAACUCUUGGUAACCAAGAAAACACACACAAACCUAAACCUAGCAGCUACACACCAUACACAAGAGGCCGCCACACAUGCCUCACUCUCUCCCAUAGCCAAUUCCUCUGCCUUACUCGACACUUAAGUUUUCUUCUUCCUCUUCUUCUUCU
Molecule: unclassified non-coding RNA, 308 nt
Filed under: Hevea brasiliensis (rubber tree)
Lineage: Eukaryota; Viridiplantae; Streptophyta; Magnoliopsida; Malpighiales; Euphorbiaceae
Source: RNAcentral